GACGAACGCUGGCGGCGUGCUUAACACAUGCAAGUCGAACGGAAAGGCCCUGCUUUUGUGGGGUGCUCGAGUGGCGAACGGGUGAGUAACACGUGAGUAACCUGCCCUUGACUUUGGGAUAACUUCAGGAAACUGGGGCUAAUACCGGAUAGGAGCUCCUGCUGCAUGGUGGGGGUUGGAAAGUUUGGGCGGUUGGGGAUGGACUCGCGGCUUAUCAGCUUGUUGGUGGGGUAGUGGCUUACCAAGGCUUUGACGGGUAGCCGGCCUGAGAGGGUGACCGGCCACAUUGGGACUGAGAUACGGCCCAGACUCCUACGGGAGGCAGCAGUGGGGAAUAUUGCACAAUGGGCGCAAGCCUGAUGCAGCAACGCCGCGUGCGGGAUGACGGCCUUCGGGUUGUAAACCGCUUUCGCCUGUGCCGAAGCGUGAGUGACGGUAACGGGUAAAGAAGCACCGGCUAACUACGUG
RNAcentral lists this ribosomal RNA (468 nucleotides) under uncultured bacterium. RNAcentral describes it as "partial 16S ribosomal RNA". It matches the Rfam family "Bacterial small subunit ribosomal RNA", at positions 28 to 507 of the family's 1533-position model. The record is from RNAcentral.